AUACGGAGGGUGCGAGCGUUAAUCGGAAUUACUGGGCGUAAAGCGUACGUAGGCGGUUGGUUAAGUUAGAUGUGAAAGCCCCGGGCUUAACCUGGGAACUGCAUUUAAAACUGGCGAACUAGAGUUGAGUAGAGGGGAGUGGAAUUUCAGGUGUAGCGGUGAAAUGCGUAGAGAUCUGAAGGAACACCAGUGGCGAAGGCGACUCCCUGGACUCGAACUGACGCUGAGGUACGAAAGCGUGGGUAGCAAACGGGAUUAGAAACCCUGGUAGUCC
RNAcentral lists this ribosomal RNA (274 nucleotides) under uncultured bacterium. Its description in RNAcentral is "partial 16S ribosomal RNA". It matches the Rfam family "Bacterial small subunit ribosomal RNA", at positions 523 to 796 of the family's 1533-position model. The record is from RNAcentral.